GACGAACGCUGGCGGCGUGCCUAAUACAUGCAAGUUGAGCGAUGAAGCUUGGUGCUUGCACCAAUUUGAAGAGCAGCGAACGGGUGAGUAACGCGUGGGGAAUCUGCCUUUGAGCGGGGGACAACAUUUGGAAACGAAUGCUAAUACCGCAUAACAACUUUAAACAUAAGUUUUAAGUUUGAAAGAUGCAAUUGCAUCACUCAAAGAUGAUCCCGCGUUGUAUUAGCUAGUUGGUGAGGUAAAGGCUCACCAAGGCGAUGAUACAUAGCCGACCUGAGAGGGUGAUCGGCCACAUUGGGACUGAGACACGGCCCAAACUCCUACGGGAGGCAGCAGUAGGGAAUCUUCGGAAAUGGACGAAAGUCUGACCGAGCAACGCCGCGUGAGUGAAGAAGGUUUUCGGAUCGUAAAACUCUGUUGGUAGAGAAGAACGUUGGUGAGAGUGGAAAGCUCAUCAAGUGACGGUAACUACACAGAAAGGGACGGCUAACUACGUG
This 497-nucleotide ribosomal RNA is filed under the name uncultured bacterium. RNAcentral's name for it is "partial 16S ribosomal RNA". It matches the Rfam family "Bacterial small subunit ribosomal RNA", at positions 28 to 507 of the family's 1533-position model. The record is from RNAcentral.